CCGCGGUAAUACGGAGGAUCCAAGCGUUAUCCGGAUUUAUUGGGUUUAAAGGGUGCGUAGGCGGCUUGUUAAGUCAGGGGUGAAAGACGGUGGCUCAACCAUCGCAGUGCCUUUGAUACUGAUGAGCUUGAAUAUACAUGAGGUAGGCGGAAUGAGACAAGUAGCGGUGAAAUGCAUNNAUAUGUCUCAGAACACCGAUUGCGAAGGCAGCUUACUAAGGUAUGAUUGACGCUGAGGCACGAAAGCGUGGGUAUCAAACAGGAUUAGAUACCCUGGUAGUCCACGCCCUAAACGAUGAUAACUCGCUGUUAGCGAUACACAGUUAGCGGCUAAGCGAAAGCGUUAAGUUAUCCACCUGGGGAGUACGCCCGCAAGGGUG
Molecule: ribosomal RNA, 379 nt
Filed under: uncultured bacterium
Lineage: Bacteria
Description: bacterial SSU rRNA
Rfam family: Bacterial small subunit ribosomal RNA
Source: RNAcentral